AAAACUUUCAACAACGGAUCUCUUGGUUCUCGCAUCGAUGAAGAACGUAGCGAAUUGCGAUAAGUAAUGUGAAUUGCAGAUACUCGUGAAUCAUUGAAUUUUUGAACGCACAUUGCGCCCUUGAGCAUUCUCAAGGGCAUGCCUGUUUGAGCGUCAUUUC
RNAcentral lists this ribosomal RNA (160 nucleotides) under Hanseniaspora guilliermondii. RNAcentral describes it as "5.8S ribosomal RNA". It matches the Rfam family "5.8S ribosomal RNA". From Rfam's summary of the family: 5.8S ribosomal RNA (5.8S rRNA) is a component of the large subunit of the eukaryotic ribosome. It is transcribed by RNA polymerase I as part of the 45S precursor that also contains 18S and 28S rRNA. The record is from RNAcentral. Lineage: Eukaryota; Fungi; Ascomycota; Saccharomycetes; Saccharomycodales; Saccharomycodaceae.